GAUGCAGCAAUGACAGGAACAUGGAGAGGGUCAGGAAUUGAUCAGCUCCUUGGGAGGUUGUUUUCAGAAUGGUAGACAGGUGGAAAGGGGAGAGUGAGAUGGCAGAGGGCCUCUGGGUUCAGGUUUGUGGGAAGUAGCAACUUGCCUCAUAAUUAAAGCCAGGGUUCAUUCAGUGAGCAAUUAUUUUGCACCCCUAAAUUAGGUGAGGUUCUGGAAUCUUGGAAGCCACAGAGGUAGCAGUGAGCCUUGACCUUGAAGAGGUUUGUAUGCACGGAUGGAGGAUGAGUAUAUGGAUUAUGAUUCUGCAUUAUUAUACGCCUGGGAAAGGCUGGGAGAGGUGGUACAGGCAGAAGACAGGCAAGAUACAAAACUGUGGGAGUUAGAGUGAAGCCUGUGGAAAUGGAAGGGAGAGGCAAGUCAGACAAGCCAUUUUGGUUUGGGCACAGAACAUGGGGAAGGAAGGUGCUAAAAUUUUGAGCCAUAAUGGUUGGUAGAAAUAAGAAAGUUAGUAUUCAAACUUGUUCAAGGGAGACUCAUUUGAUUUCUUUUUCGGCAUCUUUAGAAUGAAGUUGGAAUAUCAAGUCUAGAAACAUUUAUGAUCUAUACAGAGUUUGACAUGGAAGUUAGUUCUGGGAAGAGGUUCUAGGACAAGCUUUAAGGAGAAGAUCUUGCUUUGUAGCCCUGGCUUGCUUGGAACCUACUACAUAGACUAGAUUGGCUACCUAGUGCUGAAAUCAUAGGGAUUUGGGACUGCGCAGGAGACGACUGGUGGUCCGGUGUGGCUUAAGGACUUGAUGGCGUAACCCACUUCUUCCACGGAGGAGACUGGGGAGAUGGAUUUGAAGAGGAUUGACCAAAUUGGAAGAAAAUAUUUGUCCUCUGCUUUGGUGUCAGAAAAGGGAAUUUUCCAAUCUGCCACACCUCAGUGUUGCGGCAAAAAUAAUUCUUGGCUCCCCUGGAAACUAUCGGGCAAGGUAGGGCAGAACUGCUGCUGCUAUUGAAUGGGCUGCUCCCAAGUGAACAGAUCUGCGUUGAUGCUCUGGUCGUCCAAAAGUCCUCAAAUCAGCUCUGAGCUGAGCCCACUAUUGGAAGAAUCUGCCUUUUGGAAGUUGCCGCUACCUUGUGCUUGGGAAGGUAAGGAUGGGGACUAACCUCAGAGUAUUGCUUGGAAACUGGCUGUUAUGAUGUUUCUCAAAAAGUAAGUGGGUAAGGCUUUGAAGGACUCUCUUUAGAAUGAUUUGUCAGUCUAGGGAACCAGGAGAUGAAUGAAACUGGGGCGGCAGCAGCUGUCUUGUACUGGGGGAAAGCUAGAAAAUUAGAGUUCUGGCACCCCAUCUUAUCCUUGUAAUGGGUCUCAUAUUUGUGGGAGGGGGUUUGCUUGGCCCUGCACCAUGCGUAGUGACUCCACCCAUGACUGCGCAUCCAGAGCAAGAACGCAUUGCACCCUGGGUCUCUGGCCUGGGACAAACACCUCCCUCCUUGUUAUAUAACUCAGGGUGGCCUGUGCCUUCUCAAGCCUCCUUUGCAACUCUACCACCCCACUCCUUGCCGCUCACAGCUGAGGGUCUGUUAGGGAACAGUGGGAGUUUCCCUCCCUGAAUGAGUUAGCCACUUAGUGACCAAAUUUGAGCACAGAAAUGAUCUGCUGUCUCAUCUGAGGACAUGGACCCCAGAAUGUCCUUCUGAGUAUCCUGUGUCACCUGUAGUCCCUGGCUUAGAGGUGGGGAUAAUGCCUUCCUUUCCCUUUUAUCCUUUCUAGUUUGGGGGCAGGGACUUUCUUAAGGGAAGGAGUGAAAACCUUUUGGGAGGGGGUUGGCAGUGUCCCUUCCUUGUCUCUAGCUUUCCUUUUCCUGGCUGGGUUUACACUCUGGAUUCCUUUGAGGCUGCCAUUUUGAAGGCAGAUCUGCUUGUCCUUUACAUGGUUGGCCCUGCUGUGCUAAUUCUAAGGAGUGGGUGGGGAUUUAAAAAGGGGUCUCUGAUAGAGGGAUACAGUCACUGUAUAGGUAGAUGCAGUUAUGAUUGUUGCAGUGAAGGUGGUCUGAAAGUAGAACUGCCUGGUUCCAUGCUGGGUCACAGCACUGGGUGGAGGUCUAAAUGGAAGCCUUCUGGGUCAGGGUUCCAUGGCGCGGGACCCCAUCUUUACCAGAGUAUGACUACUUGGCUUCCCUGCCCUAGUCAGCCUAAACCAGAGAUGUUCCACCAUGUGCCUAGUGAUGGAGGAGAGUGAAAGCAGACAUAGGAGCUCAUCUCAGAUGUGGUAGACCUGUGGUUUGUGUUUUUCAAAAAGCCCCUCUGUCUCUGUCUCUGUCUCUUCUCGUUUCUUCUCUCUCUCUCUCUCUCUCUCUCUCUCUCUCUCUCUCUCUCUCUGCCUCUAUAUGGAGACAUGGGUUGAGGUCCACAGCAGGCAGCAGCAUUUGGUCAAAUGCCUUUCCUCCUUGCCCCCUGCCAGGGCCACAGUUCUAAUUGCUGUUCUUUAGUGAGGCUCCCUGCUGCCCAACCCUUUCUAGACCCUUCUGCAGAUAGCGGCCAUCUUGUCUGCCUGCUCAGAGAUUUAAAAUGGUUUCCCAUUGUCAGCUUGAAAUUCCUCCUAUUCGGUAAGUACUCUGAGCUGACUACAAGUGGCCUUAGCUUUCUCAAGAAGCCUUCCUCGGGUGAAAACCAGACCACCCAUAUUUCCCUGGGUUUCUUUUCUCCCUAAUUUCAAUAUGGCUAUUUUUCCAUGCCUGCGAUCUACCUGUUGCACGGCCACUGUCUUUAAGGACCUCUCCCUGAGCACCCUAUAAAGAAGAAAUCCCUGUAACCACUAUUACGAGUCUCCUUCCUUUCAUGCUUUUUUUUUUAUGUGUGGUUCCGUGUAUUCUCUAUCAGAGUUUGUGCUCCAGUAAGAAGCCAGGGGCAGGAAGGCAUCCCUAUUCAGAACCCCUCAUGCCGGAUGCCAUGUUUCCUCACGAAUGCUACUUGGGUUGUUUGCUUGUUUGUUUGUUUUUGUUUUAUCAUAACCCUUUAGGGAGAAUCCUGUGGCUGACAAGAAUCCCAGCCUUCAAAAAUCUUUUUUCCUCCAUGUUUCCAAGAUGACACCCUCAAAUGUGACUAUUUAGAAGGUGACACCCUCAAAUGUAGCUAUUUUAGGAAUAUUGUAAGUCUCUAAAGUUGUGUAAGGUCAUUCAGCUGGUCCUUUUCCUUCAUGGCCAGGUUAAGUCAAGAUGAUAUAUUUUUUUUUGUACCUGAAAUGAACAAACCUCAGUUGUUUUGCGUGCCUUCCUCCUGGAAGAGCAGGCAGAGGUGGGUAGGUAGGAACACCUGCAGAGGAGGGUAAGCCCAGUCACUGAGAUAGGUACAGACACUGGACUAUACCAGGUCUGUAUACCCCAAUCUCAGUUGGCUGAUUUUAGACAGGUUAUCCUAUUUCAUGCCUAAGUGCCCUUAGUCUGUGAAGUAGAUUCCUAGCAGCCUGUUCUGUAGGAAUGUCCACCGUAUUUUCUGUUCUUCGUAGAUUUGGCUCAAGCCCUCUUUCCCUGCCUGGAGACUUAUUGGGGAUGUAAAAUUAGAGAAUAGCAGGUGACCAGCAAAUUAGGGGAGGAUUAAAUACUUCCAAGUUGUCACAGCAAGAAGAAAGAGGAAUAUCUCAGGAGUUUGACCUCAAGCCUGCAAAGUGGUGGUAUUCUACCAGGAUGUCUGUAUGCUUCCUGAUGCUGUUGAGUCCUGUGGGAGGAGAAUCUGAGCACCCUGAUGCCCCUUAUCCCCAAUUCUGGACUGUGGAGCUGAGAGUGACAACAGCCAAGAAUUUUGUAGAGUACAGCUCCAUCUGUAAGUAGGUGACAAUCUCUUGGCAACACAGGCUCAGCUGAGGAUGGUGUUUGUGCAUCUAAGCCAUCAUACUAGAGCAGUUUGCCUACAUUUUUGUGGAAUGGCAAAGAGGACCUGCUUGACCACCCUUCUUUCUAUGGGUGCUGAAAGAUGAAAAGUCAUGCUGGAUGAGGUUGCUGAGGUGGGAUGAGGGCCAGUAGGAUGCCAUGUAUAGAGAAGGAAAGACUUGGAGCACUCCAUGUGGCCAAAGCUCAAAUCCUAAUGGCCUUGGAUGUCUAAGACCUUGGAUGUCUCUUUGCUAGGUAAGAAAGGCCAGAGUGAGUUGGCACAGAGGAGGGGACACUGCCUUUGGCCACUGGCUGCUCUCCAAAACAGGUGAACUUUGUGCUUGAAAGGAAUGCCAUUUACUCAUUUGGGCCUAAUAGAAGUUUCUUGUAUUUUCUCUCCUUUUUGCCCCUCCUUUCUCUCCUUUACCCCUCCCCCAUCCUUGCUGCUUCCUCAACCACCAAAGAAUUUAAUCUGCUGCGCAACAAACAAUACAGUUAUAAAACUUUGAAAACAAGACGGGGUAGCCUCUCCAACAAGGGAAAGGGCAUGCUGGAUGAUGUCCCCAGGGAACAUGUCAGGCUUGUAUAAAGCCUGUGAGAGCCUAACUGACUGGGUAACUGGGUGCCUGCUCUGCCCAGUGCUAAGCUAUCCCUAGUCCAGAGAAGGAAUCUAAAUGAAAGAGGUCAGAGAAGGGCUUAUAAAAGGGAAUCUGUGUGUUUUCUCCCUCUGAUUUGAGGGGAAUGCACUAAACUGUGCAACUUCCUCCUCUGCUUCCUCUCUCUCCUCUCCCUCCUUUUCCAUUUUCUCCCUCCUACCUCCCUUAAUCCUCCACCUCCUCCUCAUUGUUCUUAAGACUAGCAGACAGAAGUAAUGAUAAUAGAAAAGGGUUAGAAUAGCAGUGUAGGUGCUACUACUGGCUGGGCCUGCCAAAGAUGAAACAGGGUUUGAGGCUUUUGCCACCCACAAGCUCAGAUCUAUCUCUGCUAAGCCCAGCCUCCUUCUCUGACCUGAGGCAGUGCAGCCACAUACACAUCAGAAUGUGCCCCAGUCUAUAUACUGCUAGGUAUGUGCCCAGAUACUGGGCAGAACUACCACUGAGAGGUCAGUGGGUCCACCCUGAUUUCCUUAGGGCUGUCCUGAGGAUGGCGAAUUGAUAUCUCUGCUAUAAGAGGUUUUGCCCUCUACAGGAGGAGCAAGGUUUGUUGCAUAGAACUUUGUUAUUGAGAACUCCUGAGAACCCAGUGAGUAAGCACAUGGUCUGGUGAGUAUGGCACCAGAUAGGAUGUUAUGCCUGUCUCUUAUCUCAAGAAACAAGGAAUCUUGUUUCUUAGCAGUAGUAGGAGGAAUAGAGCAGUCCUGGCUAAAUGAGAGGUGGUAAAGUUGGUCUUGAGUAUCUCUGUCCUGACCUGAUAAAGCUGGUAUCUCCUUACUGAAUUUGUAUCCUCUGAGCUGUAUAGACAAUUUGAAAAUGUUAAUGGAGUGGGCUGUUUGGAUAUAGGGCCAUGAACUUUGUUAGGCACUGGGAGACUACAGGCAGGCUUAUCUUUCCUCUUGUGGUAAGCUUCAGCUUCCACAAAAGUGGUCUGGGCUGUGUUUCUUUUGCCUGUGAGAGCAAAGCCUUCUGCCAGUGUACAGUGCACUCUGGCCUUCACUCUGUACCUACCCCCUCCUCACCUUCUAAACCAUGUGUAUUUGGAGCUUGUUAGCCUAAAAUCAGUGACCACCAACUCCCAAAGUGGGCAUAAUAUCCUCGACACCCGGCAUGUCCCUCAAGUACCUGCUUGGGUAAUCAAGGAAGAGAUAACCUCUUCAGAAGCCUAGGGGGGCAGUGCUAGUUCAUCCCAGAAGGCAGCUUGGUACCAUGCCCUGUCUAGCCCAGAUACUGUGUAAGGAUCUUAGUGCUCUGUACAGAAUCUUACUGAGUUUAGGAGCUUUUGAGACCCAAGAAUUGUUCAAUAGCAUUAAGGAGAGGGGCAGAAAACCUAACUUUUAGGUUUCCGGGGGGAACAUAGGUGUCCUUAUCUCUGAUUCAGUGGAGCCAGGAGAACUAGCACUGCCCCCCUAGGCUUCUGAAGCGGUUAUCUCUUCCUUGAUUACCCAAGCAGGUACUUGAGGGACAUGCCGGGUGUCGAGGAUAUUAUGCCCACUUUGGGAGUUGGUGGUCACUGAUUUUAGGCUAACAAGCUCCAAAUUCUCCUUUACUGAUGGAUCCUCAACAUAUUCUCCUCAUUUUAUUACCCUUUCCUUGGAUUCACCAGCUUUCUGGCCACAUGUUCUACCUAGCCUGACAGCUAAAGACAAAAUGUCCUGGAUGCAUGGCCCUAGCUGCUGCUGAAAGUGACAAGCCAGGCACCCUCUUCAGUGCACAUAAGCAGGUGGUCUUUUUUGGAGGUAAGAUGUUCCUUUUUUUUUUUUUUUUUUUUCAAAAAGGCCUUCCCUAGCCUUCUCUCCCAAAGAUGAAUGAGUUUUUCUAACUGGUGGGAACUCCUAAAUCAGCCUUCAAAGGCAGGCAAAGAAAUGGAUGGCAGGCUUCUGGCACCCUCCCCCACCCUGGCUGGAAUUCUCAUCAUGCACAUAGCUGUGACUCAGCACUCACUGCUGGGUCAGGAGGGAGAAGCUAUUGCCUGGCUGGAACCUUCCCACAUUCUGCAUGUGAGCACAUCGAACAGCACAGGCUGGGCCAGCAGGGUGAGGUUCCCGGGGCAAGAAUUUUUCUCCUCUAACCCAUAUUCUUCCCACAUUUUAGGGAUUUCUGUUCUGGGCCCAGGGUAUUUAGGACUCUAAAAACCAUUGCAUCGGCCAUAGACUAAAGUAUACAUAGUCUUUUUCUUCUUUGCUUUUAACCAGUGGCCCAUGAAAAGUGUUCAACCUUUAUUGGUACUGUUUGGUUUUCAUGGGUUAGGUUUUCUAUGUGUUAAUUUUAUAUCUAGACAGAAUAUGACUUUUCAAGAUUACUGUACCUCUCUUGCAUGCUGCUGUUGUCUCUGGCUGUGUGUAUACAUGUGUUCUGACCAGUUUUCCCUAGCUUCUCUUUACAGAUGAAGACACUGAAGCCAUUCAAGACUAUGGCAGGUCCCUGUUCUCAGCAUAUAGGCAAGCAGGUAUUCUGAUUUACCAAGGAGUGGCAUUGCCUCUCCCUGUCUGCCCCUGCCUUACCAAAGGAGUGACCUGUCAUGGGAGGGUAGAAUGGCUUCCAGAGAGAAAUAGGUAUAGGAACAGAUGGAGGCUGAAGAGUGGCGUCUCAGACUUCUUACCUGCUCUGUGGCCUGUUCAGAACUGAAAAGUGAGGCAGGGUUUCUUUUCUAGACAACUCUAUCAAUCCCAGUAACAUAAAGUUUACUUGAAGCCACUCAGUUGAGAAGGGAGAUCCCAUUAUUCUCACUGAGAGCAGAGCCCUAACAGCCCUAAGGUUUGCAAGGGCUGCCCUCUUAGACAUUCAGGUAACUCUCAGACUUUAUCAAAUCAUCCAGCUAUUCCAAACUAGUGAAGAAUCACCACCUUGUUUCAGAAAAGGGACACUGCUCUGCUGACUACAGGAAUCCUGCUUUUAUAGGAUGCUGAAGACUGAGUGGGAUUGGAUGAACAUAAGGUUUAAAUGCUAGGACUACUUUCCCUCCUCUGUAGUUCACUGCUUAAAUUAUCUUUCAGUGAUUCUUAUUUACAGAAAACAGGGUUUGCAGUCCAUGGAUGUAACCCAAGCCUUCAUUGGUAGUUUCCCCUUGCCAGGCCCUUUAUUUGCUGGAUAGGAAGAAAGGAAUUAGCUUCAUGUCAUUCUGAGGACCAAAAGAAACAGGUGUUUUCUAAAUGAUAGCAAACUGGAAUGGCCCGAGGGAAAGCUUUCUAGAGCUGAGAUGGCUGACAGAGGAGGUGGAGGGUUGAUAAAAGGAGAUGCCAGCACAAGCAGAGCCUUCUGGGAGGAAAGGUGUGCCCUGGAUCCCUGCAGGAUCUCUCUCCUUAGCAUAGAGGGAGGGGAUUGGGGGAUGGUAGAGGAAGUUGCUAAGAAAAUUAGGCUGAAAUGGAAAUCAGAAGAGUUGAAUAUUAUCAUACGCAAAUCUCACCUUCCCCUUCAUUUACAGGAUUUUGACCCUUGUUAAUAACUGCCAUCUAAUCUAUUUAUGACCUAAAGCCCUCCCUAUCAUGGGUUAGAGUUCCUAACCCACAGGCUCUAAUUUUGCCAACCAAUGUCAGUGUCACUCAGAAACCCAGUGUAUAGAUCUUCCAGCACUCAUCUGCAGCUAAGGCCCUGGAAAGCCCCAGGGAGGCUGCUAGGCCUUCUGUUUCUCCUCUAGCUGGCCCAGUUUCUGAGAAGUCAGUGUCAGCAUUGCUAGGCUUCAUUGCUAUCAUCUUCUCUAUUGCUGGGAAGAAUAAAGGGGCACCAAUGAGGCAAAAGAACAAAAGCAGGUCCUCCUAGACUACCUGACCUCUUGCAGUACCAACGAUGUGUUCUCAUCUUCACCCAGGGAUAGCAUGUUUACAGUGAGUCUCCCAUCCAGAUUGUCUGAGCUAAAUCCCCCUCCCCAGUCUAGCUCUGAGUUCAGUUCAAGAGAAAAGAGGUCACAGUCAAGCUGUGGAUCAAGCAGCAACAGUGGGCAGAGGGAAAGGAAUAUAGACAUUAGCUCAUCGUAUCCUGUGACUACAGUUUCUUGUGCAGACAUCGGAAUAAUAACCUACUUCAUUGGACUCUUGGAACAAUUGAGUAUUGUGACUCUGGGGAUGCUCACAUUAUAUUUGCUCUAUUACCCCAAAACAGCCAGGAGCCAUAAAAAUAAAAGAUAUGCUUGUAUCUGGAAUCCAAAAAGAGUUUCUGGGGAACCUGAAAAAUACAGCUCUACUCUUUGUCUCCUUUCAAAGAUGAUGGUUGUGACAUCAGAGGAAAUAUACAGCAAAGAUGUAGUACAAUGUGGAACAUAGCUUGUGAAUCUUAUUUUUAGGUACAUUUUUAAAACAUACCUUGUUUUUAUGUUAGAGGGUCAUCUGUAUAGUAAAGUGUUAAGAUACCAGCUUUUUAAAAGACAUUAGGGGUUAAACCAAAUUGCUAGCCUACAGAGUCAUGGGACAGAGAGGAGGAAGGGACAUACUCUUUUUGAAUAAUACUUGUGGAAGAGUUGUCCUGGCACAGGUGACUUACUUGGGUUCAGUUGUUAACAUCUCAUAGGUCAUUGUCAUUGUCUUAAACAAGUGACAUAUCUACCGACACUAUGCAUCUUGGGAAAUAUACAUAAAUUCAAGACAUUACAAAUGUACAUAUGUUGAAUGGAUUUGGUUCUUUUAUUUCGUUGUGUAUGAUGAUUUCUAAUGACUAAUGUGAAGUCACACAGGAAACAAGCUUUGCAUUGUUCUUGUCUGCUCAAAGUGUUGGCUGUGAUUCGGAUGCUGCUGAGUAGCACUGUAUGGCUGUCAUCUGCGUCUGACAGGCAAAAUGAUUCUCAGGGCUGAGGCUGGUUCUUCUGACUGCACAUCUCUGCUUUCUUCAGUGAGAUCCUCUUCUUCUGGAAGCUGGUUUCACAUGGUGGCUUAGAUUUUUCCAUCUUUGUAUCUAGCACCAUUUGAAAUCAGUGUUUUAGGAGUAAGAAUUGCAGCACAGCAGAAGGUAGACUACAGAGGAACAGCUGUACACAGAACUGGCUCUCUCCUUCGAGAAAUCAAGGGAAGACUUGAAUAGUGACAUUUGUUCUUGAGUCUGUUUUUGUGUUCAGAAUGUAUAAGGGUGUAAUCAGGAUCAGGGAGUGGUCCACUUUAUUCAGCAUUCCAUGGGUGGAAGAGGGUGCCUUGAACCUGCACUGUUCAUUAAUUGUAGCAAAGAAGGGGUAAGAGCUCUGUAUGUGGAGGACUGCUUCAUUCACAUCAGUACUGCCUACCUGAACCUGGAAGAUCUGUGGAGCACUCACUCAGUUCUGGUUGCAGCACAGCUGAAAUCAGCCUGCCUUGAGAUUCAGACCUGAAGAACACCACCAGUCAGUCCAUCUCUUACACAGGCUGACCGAUUUCUCCUGGUGUUCAGAGUCUGUUUUUGUCUAGCACCAUUUGAAAUCGGUUAUGAUGUAGGGGGAAGAGCACCAGCCUCAGAACCUUGUGGUGUCAGCAUCAGCAUCAGCCUGUCACUUCCUACGUGGGCAGAGCGGAAAAGGAAGAUCACAGUUUCCUAACUUCUUUAAUGCGUAUGUAUGUGGCUGCCAAGGUUAAAGAUCACUUAGUGGGGGGGGGGGGUUAAUUGUUAUAAUUUAUUGUUGUAAAAUAUCCUCAGUUACAAUUUCUGACAUGUAGUACUGUUAUAAACUAAGUACUGUUAAACCGUCUGUUAAGUGUUGGCUUUAAUAAAUAAUUUGCUACAUUCAA
Non-coding RNA from Mus caroli (Ryukyu mouse), 10191 nucleotides. NCBI's taxonomy places the organism in Eukaryota, Metazoa, Chordata, Mammalia, Rodentia, Muridae. The record is from RefSeq and is a predicted model, not a curated record.